GCAGUUAGGCUGGUAAGUAGGAAAAUCCGCUUACCGUAAAGGCUGAGCUGUGACGGCGAGGGAAUUAUAGUACCGAAGUUCCUGAUUCCACACUGCCAAGAAAAGCCUCUAGCGAGAUAAAAGGUGCCCGUACCGCAAACCGACACAGGUAGGCGAGGAGAGAAUCCUAAGGUGAGCGAGAGAACUCUCGUUAAGGAACUCGGCAAAAUGACCCCGUAACUUCGGGAGAAGGGGUGCUUUUUAGGGUGAAUAGCCCGGAAAAGCCGCAGUGAAUAGGCCCAGGCGACUGUUUAGCAAAAACACAGGUCUCUGCGAAGCCGCAAGGCGAAGUAUAGGGGCUGACGCCUGCCCGGUGCUGGAAGGUUAAGAGGAGAGGUUAGCGCAAGCGAAGCUUUGAAUUGAAGCCCCAGUAAACGGCGGCCGUAACUAUAACGGUCCUAAGGUAGCGAAAUUCCUUGUCGGGUAAGUUCCGACCCGCACGAAAGGCGUAACGAUCUGGGCACUGUCUCAACGAGAGACUCGGUGAAAUUAUAGUACCUGUGAAGAUGCAGGUUACCCGCGACAGGACGGAAAGACCCCGUGGAGCUUUACUGUAGCCUGAUAUUGAAUUUUGGUACAGCUUGUACAGGAUAGGUAGGAGCCUGAGAAGCCGGAGCGCCAGCUUCGGUGGAGGCGUCGGUGGGAUACUACCCUGGCUGUAUUGAAAUUCUAACCCGCACCCCUGAUCGGGGUGGGAGACAGUGUCAGGUGGGCAGUUUGACUGGGGCGGUCGCCUCCUAAAGAGUAACGGAGGCGCCCAAAGGUUCCCUCAGAAUGGUUGGAAAUCAUUCGUAGAGUGUAAAGGCACAAGGGAGCUUGACUGCGAGACCUACAAGUCGAGCAGGGACGAAAGUCGGGCUUAGUGAUCCGGUGGUUCCGCAUGGAAGGGCCAUCGCUCAACGGAUAAAAGCUACCCCGGGGAUAACAGGCUUAUCUCCCCCAAGAGUCCACAUCGACGGGGAGGUUUGGCACCUCGAUGUCGGCUCAUCGCAUCCUGGGGCUGUAGUCGGUCCCAAGGGUUGGGCUGUUCGCCCAUUAAAGCGGUACGCGAGCUGGGUUCAGAACGUCGUGAGACAGUUCGGUCCCUAUC
This 1129-nucleotide ribosomal RNA is filed under the name soil metagenome. RNAcentral's name for it is "bacterial LSU rRNA". It matches the Rfam family "Bacterial large subunit ribosomal RNA", at positions 1516 to 2642 of the family's 2925-position model. The record is from RNAcentral.